This is a small nucleolar RNA of Suncus etruscus (white-toothed pygmy shrew), 84 nucleotides long. RefSeq annotates it as small nucleolar RNA SNORD127. The transcript has a single exon. The record is from RefSeq and is a predicted model, not a curated record. NCBI's taxonomy places the organism in Eukaryota, Metazoa, Chordata, Mammalia, Eulipotyphla, Soricidae.
CGGCAACAAUGAUGAAAUAUUGUUCUGUAUGUAAUGCAUCAAUUACUAAUUGAAGACAACAGUCCCUCUAAACUGAUGUUGCCU